CCUACGGGAGGCAGCAGUGAGGAAUAUUGGUCAAUGGACGAGAGUCUGAACCAGCCAAGUAGCGUGAAUGAUGACUGCCCUAUGGGUUGUAAACUUCUUUUAUAUGGGAAUAAAACAGGGUAUGCAUACCCUCUUGUAUGUACCAUAUGAAUAAGGAUCGGCUAACUCCGUGCCAGCAGCCGCGGUAAUACGGAGGAUCCGAGCGUUAUCCGGAUUUAUUGGGUUUAAAGGGAGCGUAGGUGGAUUGUUAAGUCAGUUGUGAAAGUUUGCGGCUCAACCGUAAAAUUGCAGUUGAAACUGGCAGUCGUGAGUACAGUAGAGGUGGGCGGAAUUCGUGGUGUAGCGGUGAAAUGCUUAGAUAUCACGAAGAACUCCGAUUGCGAAGGCAGCUCACUGGACUGCAACUGACACUGAUGCUCGAAAGUGUGGGUAUCAAACAGGAUUAGAUACCCCAGUAGUC
RNAcentral lists this ribosomal RNA (460 nucleotides) under uncultured bacterium. Its description in RNAcentral is "partial 16S ribosomal RNA". It matches the Rfam family "Bacterial small subunit ribosomal RNA", at positions 338 to 795 of the family's 1533-position model. The record is from RNAcentral.